RNAcentral lists this ribosomal RNA (588 nucleotides) under uncultured archaeon. RNAcentral's name for it is "bacterial SSU rRNA". It matches the Rfam family "Archaeal small subunit ribosomal RNA", at positions 85 to 656 of the family's 1478-position model. The record is from RNAcentral.
ACGGCUCAGUAACACGUAGUCAACCUGCCCUGGAGACAUGGACAACCCCGGGAAACUGGGAUUAAUCCGUGAUAGGUCAUCCCAUCUGGAAGGAGGGAUGGCUUAAAGGGGCGCGCGGGCUUCUUCUGCGCGUCCGCUCCAGGAUGGGACUGCGUCCGAUCAGGCUGUUGGCGGGGUAAUGGCCCACCAAACCUGUAACCGGUACGGGCCUUGAGAGAGGUGGCCCGGAGAUGGACACUGAGAGAAGGGUCCAGGUCCUACGGGGCGCAGCAGGCGCGAAACCUUCGCAAUGGGCGAAAGCGUGACGAGGUUAAUCCGAGUGGUCCCCGCUGAGGGGACCUUUUGUCAGCUGUAAAUAGGCGGGCGAAUAAGGGGAGGGCAAGCCUGGUGUCAGCCGCCGCGGUAAUACCAGCUCCUCGAGUGGUCGGGGCGAUUAUUGGGCCUAAAGCAUCCGUAGCCGGUUCCGUAGGUCCUCUGUUAAAUCCACCCGCUCAACGGGUGACCUGCAGAGGAUACCGCGGGACUAGGAGGCGGGAGAGGCGGACGGUACUCCGCGUGUAGGGGUAAAAUCCUUUGAUCCGCGGAAGA